AGAGUGAACGCUGGCGGCAGGCCUAACACAUGCAAGUCGAACGGCAGCACAGCAGAGCUUGCUCUGUGGGUGGCGAGUGGCGGACGGGUGAGGAAUACGUCGGAAUCUGCCUUUUUGUGGGGGAUAACGUAGGGAAACUUACGCUAAUACCGCAUACGACCUACGGGUGAAAGCGGAGGACCUUCGGGCUUCGCGCAGAAAGAUGAGCCGACGUCGGAUUAGCUAGUUGGAGGGGUAAUGGCCCACCAAGGCGACGAUCCGUAGCUGGUCUGAGAGGAUGAUCAGCCACACUGGGACUGAGACACGGCCCAGACCUCCUACGGGAGGCAGCAGUGGGGAAUAGUUGGACAAUGGGCGCAAGCCUGAUCCAGCCAUCGCGCGUGUGUGAAGAGGCGUUCGGUAGUAAGCUACGUUUGUAACGGAAAGAAAGCAAGUACGGUUAACUACCCGGUUGUACUAGUCGUAACGGUAACCGUAAG
RNAcentral lists this ribosomal RNA (479 nucleotides) under uncultured soil bacterium. RNAcentral's name for it is "bacterial SSU rRNA". It matches the Rfam family "Bacterial small subunit ribosomal RNA", at positions 26 to 500 of the family's 1533-position model. The record is from RNAcentral.